This 253-nucleotide ribosomal RNA is filed under the name uncultured bacterium. RNAcentral's name for it is "partial 16S ribosomal RNA". It matches the Rfam family "Bacterial small subunit ribosomal RNA", at positions 524 to 776 of the family's 1533-position model. The record is from RNAcentral.
UACGAAGGGGACUAGCGUUGUUCGGAAUUACUGGGCGUAAAGCGCACGUAGGCGGAUCUGUAAGUCAGGGGUGAAAUCCCGGGGCUCAACCUCGGAACUGCCUUUGAUACUGCAAAUCUCGAGUCCGAUAGAGGUGGGUGGAAUUCCUAGUGUAGAGGUGAAAUUCGUAGAUAUUAGGAAGAACACCAGUGGCGAAGGCGACUUACUGGACACAUAUUGACGCUGAGGUGCGAAAGCGUGGGGAGCAAACAGG